Molecule: long non-coding RNA, 201 nt
Filed under: Gallus gallus (chicken)
Lineage: Eukaryota; Metazoa; Chordata; Aves; Galliformes; Phasianidae
Source: RNAcentral
UUCAGACAUGACUGCACGAACAGGAUAUGUUUUUAAGGGCGCCUGUACAUGGAGUUACGGCUGACCAGGAGAAAUAUCACACCUGGAAGUUUAAAGUCCCACAGGAACAAGUGGCCCUAUCUCACCAACACGCCCUCUCUGCAAGAAAUGCUGCCACAUCAGCCGGGGCGAGCCGGGCCUCCAGCGCUGCACUCCCCCACC